GCCCAGUCUCUCUUCCUGCCCGCGCCCACGCCUCGACCACUCGCUCUCCUCUCCUCCACCUCCCUCCACCAUGCCCGCCUCCCUCCUCCCCCCGACCUUCCUCCCGCACCACCGCCGUCGCCACCACCUCUGCCUCCCUGUACCCAGCUGCUCCACCUCCUCUUCUUCCUCCUCCGUGUCCGGCUCUGCCGCCGGACACGUCAGCCGCUACGACUUCGAGCCGCUGCUAGCGUACCUCUCCGCCCCCUCCAACGUCGCCUCCCUCACGUCGCCGUCCCCUCCGCCCUGCGUACCGGCCCCCGAGCGCCGCCUCGCCGCGUCCUACGCUGCCGUGCCGUCGCACGAGUGGCACGCGCUGCUCCGCGGCCUCGCCGCCAGCGACGCGUCCCUGCCGCUCGCGUUCGCGCUGCUCCCUUUCCUCCAGCGUCACCGCCUCUGCUUCCCGCUCGACCUGCUCCUCUCCUCGCUCAUCCACUCGCUCUCCGUCUCCGGCCGCCUGCUCCCGCACUCGCUGCUGCUCUCCUUCCCGCCGUCCCUCUCCGACCCGCCCUCGCCGCUGCUGCUCAACUCCCUCCUCGCCGCCUCCGCCGCGGCCUCCCGCCCCGCCAUCGCGCUGCGGCUCCUCGCGCUCAUCCGAGAGCACGGCUUCCUCCCAGACCUCGCCUCCUACUCCCAUCUUCUUGCUUCGCUGCUCAACACAAGGGACCCGCCGGACGCCGCCAUCCUUGAGCGCCUUCUCGGCGACCUCAGGGAGUCGCGCCUCGAGCCAGACGCGCCACUCUUCUCCGACCUCAUCUCCGCCUUCGCGCGGGCUGCGCUGCCGGACGCAGCACUCGACCUCCUCGCCUCCGCGCAGGCCAUCGGACUCACUCCACGAUCCAAUGCCGUCACCGCGCUCAUCUCCGCGCUCGGCGGCGCCGGUCGCGUGGCCGAAGCUGAGGCACUUUUCCUGGAAUUCUUCCUUGCCGGGGAGAUCAAGCCACGGACACGCGCCUACAAUGCGUUGCUCAAAGGGUAUGUGAAAAUUGGCUCGCUCAAGAACGCCGAGCAGGUGCUCGAUGAAAUGUCGGACUGCGGAGUCGCGCCGGAUGAGGCCACAUACAGCUUACUUGUGGACGCAUACACCAGGGCUGGACGGUGGGAGAGCGCAAGGAUACUGCUCAAGGAGAUGGAAGCUGACGGAGUUAAACCGAGCUCCUAUGUGUUCAGCCGGAUCCUUGCGGGAUUCCGUGAUAGAGGUGAUUGGCAGAAGGCAUUUGCGGUGCUCCGUGAGAUGCAUGCAAGCGGUGUACAGCCUGAUCGGCAUUUCUACAAUGUCAUGAUAGAUACAUUUGGGAAGUACAAUUGCCUUGGGCAUGCUAUGGAUGCGUUUAACCGGAUGCGAGAAGAAGGGAUUGAACCGGAUGUUGUUACAUGGAAUACGCUUAUUGAUGCACACCGCAAGGGUGGGCGGCAUGAUCGCGCCAUGGAACUGUUUGAGGAGAUGCGUGAAAGCAACUGCCCACCAGGCACGACCACAUAUAACAUCAUGAUCAAUUUGCUUGGUGAACAAGAGCGGUGGGUGGGGGUAGAAACAAUGCUGUCAGAGAUGAAGGAGCAGGGUUUGGUUCCCAACAUUAUCACAUACACUACACUUGUGGAUGUCUACGGGAGGUCUGGCAGGUUCAAGGAGGCAAUUGAAUGCAUUGAAGUGAUGAAAGCUGAUGGACUGAAGCCAUCGCCCACCAUGUACCAUGCCCUUGUCAAUGCGUACGCCCAAAGGGGUUUAGCUGAUCAUGCAUUAAAUGUCGUCAAGGCCAUGAGAGCAGAUGGCCUAGAGGCUAGCACGGUAGUGCUCAACUCAUUGAUGAAUGCAUUUGGUGAGGACAGAAGGGUCGUUGAAGCAUUUUCUGUGCUACAGUUCAUGAAGGAAAAUGAUCUUAGGCCUGAUGUUAUAACAUACACAACACUAAUGAAAGCUCUAAUCCGUAUUGAGCAGUUUGACAAGGUUCCAGUUAUCUAUGAAGAAAUGAUCACAUCGGGAUGUGCCCCAGAUCGAAAAGCUAGAGCAAUGUUGCGUUCAGCUCUAAGAUACAUGAAAUACACCAAGGUUGCAUAGGGAAUCCUGCUGGACUUAUGCGCCAAUGUCAUUCAUCAACAGAAAUGAUUCUCUCUUUGAAUAGUGUCACAAUGUGCAUUCAUAUAGAAUCAUAUAUUCAUAUCAGUGAGUUAUAGCUGACAAAAUAAGAUCAUAUUGCAAUAUACGGUUUUCUCACAAUAACAAAUGACUAGCAUGGAAGUGUCAUAAGCGUACUUGGAGCAAGAAAGCAGCAAAGAGGAGUUCAGGAGCAGCACUGUUGGUAUUGUAGGAUAUACAUCCAGUGGUUUUAGGUUUGCACACAUUUGUACAUGUGCCAGCAUUCUUCAGGAGCACCAUUCUUGGUUUUGGCAGGAUAGCUAUCGGUGGUUUUGACUUUUGAGUAAGAUAUGCUACUGGUAGUUUUGAGUUUUGUGUACAUAUGCAAGGAUUGUCAGGAAAUUACUAGCAAAAGUUGAAAAGUUAAGGCUGCUGCAGCUUACCCGUCUGUUAUUGCGAAAAGAAGCUUGGACAAAGUGUGAUCACUCUGCAUCUCAUUCCUUUCUAAAGUGUUGUACCGUGGAACUCAUUCAAACAUUACUGUUUGCCCAGUUUAAUAUUUGCAUGCAGUUCACUGUUAGUUAUCUUCAGUGUGGAAAGUGAAGUUACAGUUGUAUGUGCUAGUAUACUUGGGAGGGUACACAUUUUCGAUAUGUAUGAGCCUCAGCCUCUGUGAGUACUCAAGACUGGAAAGGACAACUUGCCAGCUCCUUCAUAAGUGCAUCAUGGAAGUUGCAUACAGGCCUUCUAAUCUUCUAUACAGCUCACUUGGGUAUUUCCAACUUACGAAACUACUUUGAUUCUGUUUAUGGAUGAUGACUACUGCCAAUAUGUCUACCAAGUUAGUACAUGGUGAACUUGUUCGCUCAUUAUAACUAUGCUACUGGUGCUUAACUAUGUUUUUGAGCAAGGUGGUUCUUUGUCGUCUAUAUUACUGUAGUCGUUUACUGUGCUCUAUCAUUUUGUAUGAGCUCAACCUUGUUGACUUCCAAAUGAAUCAACAGCAGAUGGAUGUGUCGCUGGUCGCUGCUUUUGAUGGAAGAGAAAACAUCCCUGAUAUGGAGAUCUUAUGAUUAUCCUUAUAAACAAAUGGACAUGUUUUUGAAGGAAGUAAAUCAUGGUUGCUCCCAAAUUGUACUGGUAUAAGAGGGCUGAACAUUUCAUUCCAAGUUCUGCAUGAGGAACGCACAGUAGGCAUUGCAAAUGGACAUUGAAAAAAGAGGUGCUCUCUGGUUUCUGGGGUUAUGUGAUUGCACGACACAGUUGUAUGAAGGAAGAUAAAAAGCCCUUUGAAGCAGCAUGGCCCUUGUGUUAAGUCUAUUAAUAAGCAGAAGCCAGAUGAAGAUUUUGUGCUUAAGCUGACAGCAUGAGGCCCAGUUCCAAGAGAAGUUGGAUUGGAUCUCAAUGUGAUUGAUUAGAAUCUGACAUACCUAAGCAACCUGGUACUCUUGCUUGGUCCAGGGAUAACUCCAUGAGUCCUGCAUACUGUCAAGUUCAGUGUCAGUGACCAGGGCAUUAAGCUCCUGUAACUGAUCAUAUGCUUCCACCGAGAGAGGGAGGUGGAAGUGGUCUGUAGUGUCAUCAGCCCUGAUGAGAUCAGCCACAGAGAUGUCUUGCAGGAACGCAAAUGAGAAGAGCAGGGGCCAUUUGCUGGAAAGAAGUUCUCCCUGCCAUGAAUCCUUCCAGAACUGAAUGGUGUUGCCACAAUGACAGCUACAGGUAGCUAUCUCUUUAUAGGUCUCCAGAAGCUUGAGAUUGUCUUUCCACCAGAAAUAUGCAUUGGCUUGUGUGCUGGAGGGAAGAGAAUUAGCAUAAUAUUGCUCCUAGACCAGUUGCACCCAUGGAAGAUUGGCCUUGUUGAA
This is an RNA transcript of Brachypodium distachyon (stiff brome), 3978 nucleotides long. It is a transcript of the gene named pentatricopeptide repeat-containing protein CRP1, chloroplastic, with no coding region annotated. The transcript is spliced from 5 exons. Lineage: Eukaryota; Viridiplantae; Streptophyta; Magnoliopsida; Poales; Poaceae. The record is from RefSeq and is a predicted model, not a curated record.